AUCUGGGGUAGAGCCAGAGAAUUUGCAUCCCUAAUAAGCGCCCAGGUGAUGCAGAUGCUGCUCGUCUGGGGACCACACUUUGAGAACCAUCGCUCAAGAGAACCUUCCUUCCUCAGUCUAGACCUCAUCAUCCGCAGAACAAACCCCCUAUCUCCUCCCAUGGACUUUCCCUCACCGCCCAGAUAGACUCUUCCCUUUUCCCCACACAGACCUCCUCCAUUCCCUGAGAUGGAUCCUUUCCUUUCCCCGGGAUCCUCUCCAAUUGCCACCCCAGAACCCCUCCCUCACCACCACCAAGGCAGAGCCUCCAUCCAGGGCAGGUUCCCUAGGCCCAGACAGGUAAGGGUUGAUGAUAAUUGGCUUAAGAGGAGCGAGGCAGCAGUACAAAAUUCCCAUCUCAGCUUAGCGCCAGGAGCUAAUCUAGCACACAGGCUGCUCUGGGCAGGGAUUUGUGGGAGAAGCAGUUGGUCCCUCGUCCACAGUGCCUCCCUUGCCCGCUGUGACAGUCUCAUCUUUGAACAGAACGAUUAUAAAGUCUAUUUGUCAAUGGAAGGACCCUCUGCUGGCCACUUGGGGAAAUGCAGCCCAGGACUGGGAAAGAAGGGUGAAACAAGACGGAGGCCGACACAGCCCUUCCCUGAGGCAGGCAGUGAAGACGGGCAGAGGCAACCGAGUCAGGGUGGUGGAGGGGUACCUACUAGGCAGAGUCACUGCUGUUUCCUUAAAAUAAAAUCUUUACUGUUUUAAAAUUAUAAGAAUAUAAGAUAUACAGCAAAAUCAAGCAAUAUCAAAGUGUAUUUUUUGAAGCAUAAUACUCUCUCCAUCUCUCUCCUGCUGUGUAGUGCCAUUUCCUUGCAAGAACAAAAAAACGAGGGGUUCUCCAAAGCUGCAGAAUGCCCAGGUUGUCUGCCCAAGAAUCUGUCUCUUUUUUCUCGAGAACUUAAACACUUCCCUCCUCCCAGUCUCAGCUGGCAGUGUUCCUUCUCCUAGAAUUUGAACUCCCACCACACCCCUCGCCUGCAUCCUUUGCAUGGAACCAGCCUCAGACCCGGCGUCCGCCCCGUUUUUCUCUGAGGCCUGUUGCCCUCCUCCUAACACAGGGCCCUCGCCACUGGAGGGUGGGACAGAAAGGUCACUGCUGGUAGGCAUUCAAAAUGCCUUAUUUCCCUUGGUCUCUUCUAUUCCAAAGGCCUCUGUCUCCACUCAUAGCCUACCUCCCUGUGGACAUACUCUGGACUCUGGAUAGCUCCAUUUAAAAAUGUCCCCUUUCUGACCACAACCGUUCCCUCCUGUCCUCUAAACUUCAGUUCCUCACUGGAACCUCCAGGGCUUUGAUUCUAACUACUACCUUCCAGUCUCCCAGGGCCUCUUGGUCCAGCCUGGACCUCCUGAUCCUUCUCCAGCUGCUUUAAUUACUCUGCUCCUUGGCCCCAGGCAAUCCAU
Molecule: long non-coding RNA, 1443 nt
Filed under: Equus asinus (donkey)
Lineage: Eukaryota; Metazoa; Chordata; Mammalia; Perissodactyla; Equidae
Description: lncRNA (ENSEASG00005025367.1)
Source: RNAcentral